GGGAAUCCGAAUCCCAUAGGUAUCUAAGUUCCCUCUCUUCCAACACCAGGGUCAGCAUUCAAGGAUUCGACAGCGGAAAAGCAGAAGGGACCCACUGCCUCUCUCUCAAGCUCCCAGGCUCUGUGGUAGGCAAGGUCACUGGUGCGGUUCAACAGCGGGUCGCUGAUUCUAGACAGGGUGGCCACCCAGGAGGACAGGACACUGCAGGGCAGGACAGGUGAGGAAGGCUGCCUGGAGGUAGGGAACUGUUAGGAUUUAGAUUGGGGGGCAGGUGAGAGGGGCGCUUACACAACCGCAUGACGUACUUUCAUGGGACCGUCAUUCCUAGCACUAUACCACAGAGCCUUCCAGAACGGAGGUAGCCAGGAAAUGCCCAGCUCAGAAGAUGUGUGUAGUGAUAUUUUGUUUGUGUUUUAACAAAUAAAUCUUGCCUGAAGAUCAGAGUGCCAAGCUAAGCCACUUGUGGUGGUGGCACACACCUUUAAUCCCAGGACUCACAGAGGCAGAGGGAUCUCUGUGAAUUCAAGGUCACCCUGGGCUACAGGAAACUGACCCAGUCUAAAAGAGAAACAGAGCUCACGUAAAGAUGAUCCCAGCACUUGGGAUCCCCUGCCUUUAAUCCCAGCACUAGGGAGGUGGAGGCCAGAAUGAUAUGGCUGGGGGCUGGGUGAAGAGGAAUGUAAGGCAGUGAGGGGACAGGAGCUGAGUGCAAUCUGAAGCAGUCAGUCCGAGGACAGGGUCGCCCCUUUGGUCUGAGCAUUGGCAGAGGUAAGAACUCUAGUAACUGGCUGCUCUGCUUCUCUGACCCUUCAGCUUUCACCCUGAUAGCUGACUCCAAAUUUUUAUUAUUAAGACCAAUUAGAAUUUAGCCAGGCAGUGGUGGCACAUGCCUUUAAUCCCAGCACUUGGGAGGCAGAGGCAGGCGGAGCACUGAGUUAGAAGCCAGCCUGGUCUACAGAGCAAGUUCCAGGACAGGCGUACCUACACUGAGAAACCCUGUGUUGAAAAAAAUCAAAAAAAUAAAAAUAAAUUAGAAUUUAUGCUAUAGAAGAGGAAAAGUCUAUUUUGGAAGGUGGGGGAAGCUAUUCUCCAUGAGGAAAGUGGUUACUUGUACAUUUGUUUUAAAAAUUAUUAAUUAUGUGUUGUGUGUAUGUUGUCUGUGUGCCGGAGUAUUUGUGCUCACAGAGGGUGGUUUUGAGCUGCCUGACAUGGAUCCUGGAACCUGAACUUUGGUCCUCUGCAAGAGCAGGACUAUCUUCCCCCACCCCUGUACAUAUGCUGAUCACAGCCUUGGUGCUUGAUGACGAAGCUGGAGAUGACAGGUAUCAGGGACAGGACUUAGGCCCUCAGAGCACGACUGCCCGGAAGCUUCCCAAUAACAUGGGCCCCUGAGGAUCGCUCUACCAUGGAGAAGCUGAAGUUCAGAGAAGUCAAUAUACCUAUUCAUGGAAGAACAGCAACAGCAGAUCUGGGUUUGGAACUCAGACCCCUCAGCCCUGGAGCCCUAAAUCUUCACUUUCUGGGUGCAGGAGCUGAGACCUGGAACUGCCUCCACUGAAACAAACACGGACUUGGGUGACUGGAGCCAAGCUCCUACCCACUUCCUGGUGGGUGUUAUCUCAUUCCCCUGAGGAACGUUUUGUAUGUUGAGAAGAAUGGAGUUGGUUUAGCUUUGGGCAAUGGCGGUCCCAGCCUUGAACCCUUCCUCCGUGGGGGUCAGGGUUGGUAGCUCUCUGAGGAGCAGUUUUACCACGGGGUAGAGCUGAGUGUAUCCUUGCCAAACAGAUGCAUGAAUGAACAAACAGCAAACAGGAAAGUUGCCGGGACAAGUCGGCCACCUGGGAGCUCGACAAGGAAGCCAGAGGUUUCUCUUAAGGAAGACAUCCUGAUUCCCGAGGCACAGCACCUGCCCAGACUCGCAGUCGCCAUGUGGCUUCCAGGUAAACACACUUCAGUCCCGAUAUCGCUUCUCUGCGUAGCUGUCGAGCCUGUCUACCUUGCUCACCUACGAGAGCCCCAUCAAUGGCUCCCUCCACCGGGUGGC
Long non-coding RNA from Alexandromys fortis (reed vole), 2044 nucleotides. RefSeq lists it as uncharacterized. The transcript has 3 exons. NCBI's taxonomy places the organism in Eukaryota, Metazoa, Chordata, Mammalia, Rodentia, Cricetidae. The record is from RefSeq and is a predicted model, not a curated record.